UGGGGAAUAUUGGACAAUGGGGGCAACCCUGAUCCAGCAAUGCCGCGUGUGUGAAGAAGGUCUUCGGAUUGUAAAGCACUUUCGACGGGGACGAUGAUGACGGUACCCGUAGAAGAAGCCCCGGCUAACUUCGUGCCAGCAGCCGCGGUAAUACGAAGGGGGCUAGCGUUGCUCGGAAUGACUGGGCGUAAAGGGCGUGUAGGCGGUUUACACAGUCAGAUGUGAAAUCCCCGGGCUUAACCUGGGAGCUGCAUUUGAUACGUGUAGACUAGAGUGUGAGAGAGGGUUUGUGGAAUUCCCAGUGUAGAGGUGAAAUUCGUAGAUAUUGGGAAGAACACCGGUGGCGAAGGCGGCAACCUGGCUCAUGACUGACGCUGAGGCGCGAAAGCGUGGGGAGCAAACAGGAUUAGAUACCCUGGUAGU
RNAcentral lists this ribosomal RNA (423 nucleotides) under uncultured bacterium. RNAcentral's name for it is "partial 16S ribosomal RNA". It matches the Rfam family "Bacterial small subunit ribosomal RNA", at positions 355 to 794 of the family's 1533-position model. The record is from RNAcentral.